RNAcentral lists this ribosomal RNA (580 nucleotides) under uncultured bacterium. RNAcentral describes it as "partial 16S ribosomal RNA". It matches the Rfam family "Bacterial small subunit ribosomal RNA", at positions 391 to 964 of the family's 1533-position model. The record is from RNAcentral.
GCCAUGCCGCGUGUGUGAAGAAGGCCUUCGGGUUGUAAAGCACUUUCAGUCNGGAGGAAANGUUAGUAGUUAAUACCUGCUAGCUGUGACGUUACNGACAGAAGAARCACCGGCUAACUCCGUGCCAGCAGCCGCGGUAAUACGGAGGGUGCGAGCGUUAAUCGGAAUUACUGGGCGUAAAGCGYACGCAGGCGGUUUGUUAAGCKAGAUGUGAAAGCCCCGGGCUCAACCUGGGAACUGCAUUUCGAACUGGCARACUAGAGUGUGRUAGAGGGUGGUNGAAUUUCAGGUGUAGCGGUGAAAUGCGUAGAKAUCUGAAGGAAUACCGAUGGCGAAGGCANCCACCUGGGUCAACACUGACGCUCAUGUNCGAAAGCGUGGGGAGCAAACAGGAUUAGAUACCCUGGUAGUCCACGCCGUAAACGAUGUCUACUAGAAGCUCGGAGCCUCGGUUCUGUUUUUCAAAGCUAACGCAUUAAGUAGACCGCCUGGGGAGUACGGCCGCAAGGUUAAAACUCAAAUGAAUUGACGGGGGCCCGCACAAGCGGUGGAGCAUGUGGUUUAAUUCGAUGCAACGCGC